AAUAGAUACCCCGGUAGUCCUGGCCCUAAACCAUGGGCACUGGGUAGGGGAUUCGCCGAUGGAUUCCCUGCCGCAGCGAAAGCGUGAAGUGCCCCGCCUGGGGAGUAUGGUCGCAAGGCUGAAACUCAAAGGAAUUGACGGGGGCUCACACAAGCGGUGGGGCAUGUGGCUUAAUUCGAGGCUACGCGCAAAACCUUAUCCCGGGCUUGACAUGCACGGAUUAGCCGGCGGAAACGUCGGCGAGGCCGCAAGGUACAACGUGCACAGGUGCUGCAUGGCUGUCAUCAGCUCGUGCCGUGAGGUGUUGGGUUAAGUCCCGUAACGAGCGAAACCCCUGUCCCUAGUUGCCAGCACGUCAUGGUGGGAACUCUAGGGAGACCGCCGGCGUCAAGCCGGAGGAAGGCGGGGAUGACGUCAAGUCCUCAUGGCCCUUAUGCCCGGGGCCGCACACGUGCUACAAUGGGGCGCAACAGAGCGACGCCAGGCCGCAAGGUCGAGCCAAUCGCCAAAACCGCCCCCAGUUCGGAUCGCGGGCUGCC
This 539-nucleotide ribosomal RNA is filed under the name uncultured bacterium. RNAcentral's name for it is "bacterial SSU rRNA". It matches the Rfam family "Bacterial small subunit ribosomal RNA", at positions 777 to 1309 of the family's 1533-position model. The record is from RNAcentral.